RNAcentral lists this small RNA (247 nucleotides) under Paenibacillus sp. RNAcentral's name for it is "c-di-AMP sequence". It matches the Rfam family "c-di-AMP riboswitch aptamer (ydaO/yuaA leader)". From Rfam's summary of the family: This family represents a conserved RNA structure found upstream of the ydaO and yuaA genes in Bacillus subtilis and related genes in other bacteria. The ydaO/yuaA element is thought to act as a genetic "off" switch for the ydaO and yuaA genes in its native state. RNAcentral also lists the same sequence under 1 other name. The record is from RNAcentral. Lineage: Bacteria; Bacillati; Bacillota; Bacilli; Caryophanales; Paenibacillaceae.
GAGUCAUUCUCGCUGAAUCUUUUGUAAUUUAACAAAGAACGGGGGAACCGAUAUAGUGGUCUGCUGCUAGUCAGAAGAUGGAAUUAAGAGAGUUGUCUCUCUUGCUCUGACCACUGUAUUUGAUUUCAACACUUGAGUCUUGGGGUGAACGUAAAGGACAGCUGCCAUGAGCAGCCUGGAUCUGAGCGGGGGCGACUCUUACGCCCGAACCCGACAGCUAACUCCGUAAGCGUAUUGAAGAGGCAAA